Molecule: ribosomal RNA, 528 nt
Filed under: uncultured bacterium
Lineage: Bacteria
Description: bacterial SSU rRNA
Rfam family: Bacterial small subunit ribosomal RNA
Source: RNAcentral
AGGGUUUGAUCAUGGCUCAGGACGAACGCUGGCGGUGCGCCUUAUGCAUGCAAGUCGAGCGAAGCUUUUCAGUAGUUUACUACAGAAAAUGACUGAGCGGCGAACGGGUGAGUAACGCGUGAGCAAUCUACCUUAGUUACAGGGAUAGCCCGAGGAAACUCGGAUUAAUACCUGAUAUUCUUUAUUUCUCGCAUGAGAAUAAAAGGAAAGGUCAGCCGAACUAAGAUGAGCUCGCGUUCUAUCAGCUAGUUGGUGAGGUAAAAGCUUACCAAGGCUACGACGGAUAGCUGGUCUGAGAGGACGAUCAGCCACGCUGGGACUGAGACACGGCCCAGACUCCUACGGGAGGCUGCAGCAGGGAAUAUUGGACAAUGGGGGAAACCCUGAUCCAGGCAUGCCGCGUGUGUGAAGAAGGCCUUAGGGUUGUAAAGCACUUUAAGUGAGGAAGAAAAGAUUUAAAUUAAUACUUUAAGUCCCUGACAUUACUCACAGAAUAAGGACCGGCUAACUCCGUGCCAGCCGCCGCGG